UGGGGAAUUUUGGACAAUGGGCGCAAGCCUGAUCCAGCCAUGCCGCGUGCAGGAUGAAGGCCUUCGGGUUGUAAACUGCUUUUGUACGGAACGAAAAGACUCCUUCUAAUAAAGGGGGUCCAUGACGGUACCGUAAGAAUAAGCACCGGCUAACUACGUGCCAGCAGCCGCGGUAAUACGUAGGGUGCGAGCGUUAAUCGGAAUUACUGGGCGUAAAGCGUGCGCAGGCGGUUUUGUAAGUCUGAUGUGAAAUCCCCGGGCUCAACCUGGGAAUUGCAUUGGAGACUGCAAGGCUAGAGUCUGGCAGAGGGGGGUAGAAUUCCACGUGUAGCAGUGAAAUGCGUAGAUAUGUGGAGGAACACCGAUGGCGAAGGCAAUCCCCUGGACCUGUACUGACGCUCAUGCACGAAAGCGUGAGGAGCAAACA
RNAcentral lists this ribosomal RNA (427 nucleotides) under uncultured bacterium. RNAcentral describes it as "bacterial SSU rRNA". It matches the Rfam family "Bacterial small subunit ribosomal RNA", at positions 355 to 774 of the family's 1533-position model. The record is from RNAcentral.